RNAcentral lists this ribosomal RNA (253 nucleotides) under uncultured bacterium. RNAcentral's name for it is "partial 16S ribosomal RNA". It matches the Rfam family "Bacterial small subunit ribosomal RNA", at positions 524 to 776 of the family's 1533-position model. The record is from RNAcentral.
UACAGAGGUGGCAAGCGUUGUUCGGAAUUACUGGGCGUAAAGGGCGCGUAGGCGGUUCGUUAAGUCCUGUGUGAAAUCCCCCGGCUCAACCGUGGAACUGCGUCUGAUACUGGAGGGCUUGAAUCCGGGAGAGGGAUGUGGAAUUCCAGGUGUAGCGGUGAAAUGCGUAGAUAUCUGGAGGAACACCGGUGGCGAAGGCGGCAUCCUGGACCGGUAUUGACGCUGAGGCGCGAAAGCUAGGGGAGCAAACGGG